Molecule: long non-coding RNA, 3361 nt
Organism: Gallus gallus (chicken)
Lineage: Eukaryota; Metazoa; Chordata; Aves; Galliformes; Phasianidae
Exons: 2
Source: RefSeq, a predicted model, not a curated record
AGAGCAUGAUGAGAGCAUUCAGUCCUUGUGUGUUCUAUUCUAUCUCCUAAGAAGUGUUGUGAGCAUUGCAUACUCAAUUCCGAAGUCCAGCUUUCCGAAUGGCAGUGUCCUGAUAAAACUCAGCAGACAGUUUUUCUUGCCUAAUGCAGAGCUUUCUCCUGUUCAGUGUGAUAUCUUUUGCUGAAUACAUCCAUUUCCAAACAGACUCCUUUUUUCCUGAAAGGUCAAGCUUUCAUUUGCUGUUUUUGUUCCAUUCACUGAGUGACCACAUGAGUGUCCUGAUGUUUCUCAGCAUCAUACAUCUAUUGUUUUGUGAGAGGUUUUUGUUAUUCUUUUGUCUCUGCAGUUGGCACUACAGUGCUGAAAUGAGUGGGAGUUUUGCCACUAAAUCAGAAACAGAUCCUCAAAACAAGUCGACACUGCACUUAAAAAAGUGUUCUUUAUGAAUAGAUGUAAGCAAGGUGAGCCACUGUCACAGAAAGCACUGGAGCAUGGACACUUCUCACAUCAUGUACAAGAAGCCAGAACAGAUGUGCAGGAUUCCUCAGGUGCCUAAAAUUGCUGUCAUGGCUCUGCACUCACCAAAAAAUUGCUGGCAUUGUUCUUGACCUCCUUGCUUCCCCUGCAAACCACAGACUACCUUUCAGCAGAUGUUUCAGGAAGCAAAUUGAUGUUUUCUCCAGUAUCUGAAGAUGGGAAGUCUCAACUCUUCUAGAGACUCAAGGCUUCAAGGCCUGGUUUGCAGCCAGCCCUCACACAGGAACCUUUUGCCUUUCCUAAUGAAACAUAAAUGAAUAUUCAUCCAAGUGUCUCUUUUGCAAGCUCUGUGACACUGAUGGAAUCAUGAGAUAACUCCACCAGAAGAAAGGAUCUGUGUACCCUUGCCAUGAGAGCUGCAUUGGUGCAGAGUGCAAAGCAAUGGCCUGGGUUUACAGAGCUGUUAGACACUAGAAUCUGCCAGUUCUGUUUCCUGCUCCAUCAGAAUACCAUGAGGAUGCUCCAUAAAAAUCACAAACUGUGACAGAGGCAGCAAUGAUCGACAGAUGAGACAUUUCUUUUCCAAAAAAUUUGCUGGCAUGAUGCCAUGAAAAAGAAAUUCUUUCUGCAAGAGAUGUCCCAGGAGAGGCUGCAUCAAAUGACACUAGAAUGCAGACACUUUUCUGAGGAUGAACGGCUAGCAUCCGAAAAUCCUUAUAUAUGUCACUUCCAGACAUGCACUCUCUCUUUUGCAAUGUCCACAGGUUAUCUAAGGCCAUAAGUAAGGCCAUUCUAUAGUUGAGUUUUAUCCUUGCCUCUUUGGCCAGGGAUAAGCAAUAGAUGGAUAGCCCACAGUGCUCAGAAAGCCAUGCAGUUGUACACAGAUAUAUCAUUUUUUUCAAAGCAGUUGCUAUUUUCUUUCCAGCCUCCACUAUUCCAUAUUAAUUUUAGGAUCAUCUGAUCACAAAAACAUUCCCUGCACUUUAUGCAUGAGACAAUGACCUCAUUCUGCUGUCUGGUUAUCAUCUAGCUGGUAGGUUUGUCUGAUCUCAUGUAAUCAUUUGCACUGUUUCCUACUGAAGGCUUGAUAAUGAGAAGCCUCAAACCAUGUUUUCUAUUUUGCAAGAGAAUGUGAACCUUAGGGGUACAAGAAAUGUAAUAAUGCUUAUGCUGAUUUACUUAGACAAAAAUCAGUUUAAAACCAUACAAAAAUCAGGAAGUUUACAAGUUUUGUCUGAUGGGAAGUUCUGCUGUCCCCAGCCAGAGCCAAGGAGUCCUAGAGAAACCUGCAUGUUCUGAAAUAUGGCAGUGUACUGCUCAGCAUGAGUUCAGCAUAAUGCAACAGCCAAUCCCAUCCAGCAUGCCAGGACUCCUCAAAGUCACAGUUUCUCGCUUCUUCUAUUCAUAUAGUCAUAAAAGAAGAUUUUAAACAUUAAAAUAUAAAUUCUGUGAACUAACUUGUCAAGAAAAGUUGGUCCUUUGGGUAUCUUCUACCACCUAGUCCUCUAUACAGUAAUGGAUGGUGAGAAUUUGGGGCUCAAACUUGCUCCUUCCCUUGCAAUAAGGACAGGGUAGUGGUGGGUUCCCAGGAUGCAGCAUCCCACUGGUCUCAUUCUGCUUUUUCUGAUCCUCCCUAUGGUAUUUACCCCAGGACUGCUGGUAUGGGGUUUUAAUGCUGAUGUUCCGCUCUUAUCAAAGAAAGUAGCUGUAGUUAAACCCUACACUACACCGGAUCCUUUCUGCUGCUUGUCAGGUCUAAAGAUCAUCAGGUGUCUGUUAGUCUGAAAUUGUUUUCCACUGAUGUGUUUGUCUCAAACUUUUUGCAAUUACAACCCUGCUGCCUUUCAAUAAAACCUCAUUUGAUACUGACAGCUCCUCCUUAAAGUGACAGCAGGGAGUGGGAGCACACUAACCCUGACACUCUGAUGUAAUGGCAUUAUUUACUUCUGAACAGUGACUGGUAAUAGCUGUCUAAUACAUGUACUGUCAGCUUCUUAUUUGAAGUCUGAUUAGGUACAACAGUCCAGACUUUGCUUCUCUCCAUUUCAGUCAAUUUUUGCAAACCUUACUUUAGAGGAUGAGAAUAGCUCUGUAUCCUUAAGGGAGGAAUCUUCCUGACUCUUUCUGAUAAUGGGAGUGUUAACAACCAGCAUGAAUCUCUUCUAGUAAGAUGUUUUGCAUCACUGGAUGAAAAACAAAUCUUCCUCUUGGGGAUUCAGUAUUGACAUGAUUUGAACAGGGGGAAGGAAGUGAAAAUAGAGCCCUCACCAUCUCUUUGAUGCUGACUGAGAAUGAAUAAUUUUUGCUCCUACCAGGAGAUUCAAACAAGAGUUUGACUGUGCCACAUCAGUCUUGGUUGUGCAGUGUCAUAGAUCAUGGUCCCCAAUCACACCUAGGCACAGACAGAGCCAGUGCUGUACUGUUGUUGUAGUAAUCUUUCAUUAACGUUUGCCAGCUGCAUUUGCUAUUCUAUUUCUCUUUCUUCUACACUUCCCUAACCCCCAAAACAGUGCUAAAACAAACAGCUUAUUUAAACUCAUUUCUUGCUAGUAAGGAAGAAAUCACGUGUUUUUAAGUGCCUGGAUCUGGCUAUUUAGUUUUUCCAGGAUCCUAGAGAAGUGUGGUUAUGUUUUACAGGUCUUGCUAAGACUAGCCAGUCCCUGGCAAUAAGAUUAAACAAAUAAAGUCACUCUAUGAAGAUGAAGAAAUGAAUUUUCAGUUUAGAGUUCCAGCCAACUGUGGAUACAGAGAUCUUUCUCAGCAUCUCUUGAAACAUGAAUUUAGACUCAUCAGUACCUAGACUGAGGGAAGAAGUGAACUGUGACUGAAUGUACUUGAUAUCUGAGGGCUGACGCAAAUAAAUAAUUAAGCAUUACUAUUUCUA